AGAGUUUGAUUCUGGCUCAGGAUGAACGCUGGCGGCGUGCCUAACACAUGCAAGUCGAGCGAAGCGCUUUACUUGAAUUCUUCGGAAGGAAAGUAUUGUGACUGAGCGGCGGACGGGUGAGUAACGCGUGGGUAACCUGCCUCAUACAGGGGGAUAACAGUUAGAAAUGACUGCUAAUACCGCAUAAGACCACAGCACCGCAUGGUGCGGGGGUAAAAACUCCGGUGGUAUGAGAUGGACCCGCGUCUGAUUAGCUAGUUGGUAAGGUAAGGGCUUACCAAGGCGACGAUCAGUAGCCGACCUGAGAGGGUGAUCGGCCACAUUGGGACUGAGACACGGCCCAAACUCCUACGGGAGGCAGCAGUGGGGAAUAUUGCACAAUGGGGGAAACCCUGAUGCAGCGACGCCGCGUGAGUGAUGAAGUAUUUCGGUAUGUAAAGCUCUAUCAGCAGGGAAGAAAAUGACGGUACCUGACUAAGAAGCACCGGCUAAAUACGUGCCAGCAGCCGCGGUAAUACGUAUGGUGCAAGCGUUAUCCGGAUUUACUGGGUGUAAAGGGAGCGUAGACGGAGAGGCAAGUCUGAUGUGAAAACCCGGGGCUCAACCCCGGGACUGCAUUGGAAACUGUUUUUCUAGAGUGUCGGAGAGGCAAGUGGAAUUCCUAGUGUAGCGGUGAAAUGCGUAGAUAUUAGGAGGAACACCAGUGGCGAAGGCGGCUUGCUGGACGAUGACUGACGUUGAGGCUCGAAAGCGUGGGGAGCAAACAGGAUUAGAUACCCUGGUAGUCCACGCCGUAAACGA
This 801-nucleotide ribosomal RNA is filed under the name uncultured bacterium. Its description in RNAcentral is "bacterial SSU rRNA". It matches the Rfam family "Bacterial small subunit ribosomal RNA", at positions 8 to 809 of the family's 1533-position model. The record is from RNAcentral.